AGUGAACGCUGGCGGUAGGCCUAACACAUGCCAGUCGAACGGCAGCACAGUAAGAGCUUGCUCUUACGGGUGGCGAGUGGCGGACGGGUGAGGAAUACAUCGGAAUCUACUUUUUCGUGGGGGAUAACGUAGGGAAACUUACGCUAAUACCGCAUACGACCUACGGGUGAAAGCAGGGGAUCUUCGGACCUUGCGCGAUUGAAUGAGCCGAUGUCGGAUUAGCUAGUUGGCGGGGUAAAGGCCCACCAAGGCGACGAUCCGUAGCUGGUCUGUGAGGAUGAUCAGCCACACUGGAACUGGAACACGGUCCAGACUCCUACGGGAGGCAGCAGGGGGGAAUAUUGGACAAUGGGCGCAAGCCUGAUCCAGCCAUACCGCGUGGGUGAAGAAGGCCUUCGGGUUGUAAAGCCCUUUUGUGGGGAAAGAAAAGCAGCAGGUUAAUACCCCGCUGUUCUGACGGUACCCAAAAAAUAAGCACCGGCUAACUUCGUG
RNAcentral lists this ribosomal RNA (492 nucleotides) under uncultured bacterium. RNAcentral's name for it is "partial 16S ribosomal RNA". It matches the Rfam family "Bacterial small subunit ribosomal RNA", at positions 29 to 507 of the family's 1533-position model. The record is from RNAcentral.